AUCCAGCUGACGAGUCCAAAAUAGGACCAAACGCCCGUUCCAGAU
Schistosoma curassoni is the source of this 45-nucleotide non-coding RNA. Lineage: Eukaryota; Metazoa; Platyhelminthes; Trematoda; Strigeidida; Schistosomatidae. The record is from Rfam.